This 191-nucleotide ribosomal RNA is filed under the name uncultured bacterium. Its description in RNAcentral is "partial 16S ribosomal RNA". It matches the Rfam family "Bacterial small subunit ribosomal RNA", at positions 1309 to 1500 of the family's 1533-position model. The record is from RNAcentral.
AACUCGCCUGCAUGAAGCUGGAAUUGCUAGUAAUCGCGGAUCAGCAAGCCGCGGUGAAUACGUUCCCGGGCCUUGUACACACCGCCCGUCACACCAUGAGAGUCGGGAACACCCGAAGUCCGUAGUCUAACCGCAAGGGGGCGCGGCCGAAGGUGGGUCCGGUAAUUGGGGUGAAGUCGUAACAAGGUAAC